RNAcentral lists this ribosomal RNA (364 nucleotides) under uncultured bacterium. RNAcentral's name for it is "bacterial SSU rRNA". It matches the Rfam family "Bacterial small subunit ribosomal RNA", at positions 29 to 418 of the family's 1533-position model. The record is from RNAcentral.
AACGAACGCUGGCGGCAGGCUUAACACAUGCAAGUCGAACGGAUGUAGCAAUACAUCAGUGGCAGACGGGUGAGUAACACGUGGGAACCUUCCUCGUUGUACGGGACAACUCAGGGAAACUUGAGCUAAUACCGUAUACGUCCGAGAGGAGAAAGAUUUAUCGCAAUGAGACGGGCCCGCGUCGGAUUAGCUAGUUGGUGGGGUAACGGCCUACCAAGGCGACGAUCCGUAGCUGANCUGAGAGGAUGAUCAGCCACACUGGGACUGAGACACGGCCCAGACUCCUACGGGAGGCAGCAGUGGGGAAUCUUGCGCAAUGGGCGAAAGCCUGACGCAGCGACGCCGCGUGAGGGAAGAAGGCCUU